GCUCCGCAUUCACCUGAGCCAACACUGUCAGCACUACUACUCCGUCGUUGGUCAUUACGUUGCUCUGCUCUUGUAGCCCAAGUCCUUACAAGGACCUCACGCUGGCACUUCCAAGUCCAAGUUUUAGAAGCGCUCCUCGGAGAGCUAAAUCAACAGCGCGGAGCCAGGCGGAGCACUAGGAGCGGCACAGGAAGGAAGACGGCUGCAGGCCAGCAGCUCCUUCAGACGCAGAGCCUUACACCGAGGCAAGUGACGCACAGUAGGAACGUGCACACUCGGGCGUCACCGUGGCACCGCAGGGGAGCAAGAACUGAAGAGCACAGUUCAGAGACAUGGAGAAUAUUCACAUGCCACAUUUUGUGCGUCCAUUUGUCCACCAAGGGACGUUGAGGUGGUUCUCUCCUUUUCUGUUCCUUGGUGAACCUCAAUGCAUCCAGCUCUCUGUGAGACUCCGCAUGCGCCCAGUAAGGUUCACCCAGAGGAAAUGUGAAGAGGAACCUCUCUGUUUGGGAUGAACAAGGCCUCUCUAAAGUGAUUUGAGGGGUACAGCUAUCCAGACACAUUGAAAAUAAAAAGGAUCCCGUAUAAGAC
Long non-coding RNA from Canis lupus familiaris (dog), 591 nucleotides. RefSeq lists it as uncharacterized. NCBI's taxonomy places the organism in Eukaryota, Metazoa, Chordata, Mammalia, Carnivora, Canidae. The transcript has 4 exons. The record is from RefSeq and is a predicted model, not a curated record.